CCCAAAAUGCUGGGAUUACAAGCAUGAACCACUGUGACUUGCCUUCUUGGCAAUUUUAAAUGAAAGAAGAAGAUGGAAUAAUGCCUACUGAGGACUAUGUUUGAGGGGUGUUGUAUGACCCCGUUUUCCAUACCCAGCCAACUUGUCACUCAUGUGACAAGUCCACAGAAAGAUGUUAUAUGGCCAGGAAUCUAUGAACUAUGUCGUUCAUUCAGUCUUCCCUAAAUGUACCUGACUACAGCUAACAUCAUAUCACAUGAUGAAAGACCACGUUGUUUUCCCCUGAGGUUGGCAGUGCAGGAAGACGUAUGUGAAAUAAUUCAUGGAGAAGUCAUAGUGGCCUUGAAGUUUUCCAGAUAACUAUGAAAAACUACGUUAAGAUGCUAUUUUUCAACAAAAUUCAUUUUACCAACCUCAAAACGUAUUUCCUCCGAAGAGGGUACGCACUGACAAACAACUCCCGAGUGUGGCAUGCUAGCAAGAGCACUAGGCUGGGAGUCAAGAGACUUAAAUUCCACCCGGAAGCCACCACAUGACCUUGGCAUGAGCCCAUCACCAGGCUCCUCAGCCUCCUCAUCGCAGCACCAGGGAUUUCCCAAGCCCUCAGGAAAUACUGUAACUUGACAACAAUGGAGAAAGACUUUCACCCAUGUGGUCGGAAUGCUAGCCUUAAAAAG
This 677-nucleotide non-coding RNA is filed under the name Pongo abelii (Sumatran orangutan). The record is from RNAcentral. Lineage: Eukaryota; Metazoa; Chordata; Mammalia; Primates; Hominidae.